AACGAACGCUGGCGGCAUGCCUAACACAUGCAAGUCGAACGAGACCUUCGGGUCUAGUGGCGCACGGGUGCGUAACGCGUGGGAACCUGCCCUUAGGUUCGGAAUAACUCCCCGAAAGGGGUGCUAAUACCGGAUAAUGUCUUCGGACCAAAGAUUUAUCGCCUUUGGAUGGGCCCGCGUUGGAUUAGCUAGUUGGUAGGGUAAAAGCCUACCAAGGCGACGAUCCAUAGCUGGUCUGAGAGGAUGAUCAGCCACACUGGGACUGAGACACGGCCCAGACUCCUACGGGAGGCAGCAGUGGGGAAUAUUGGACAAUGGGCGAAAGCCUGAUCCAGCAAUGCCGCGUGAGUGAUGAAGGCCGUAGGGUUGUAAAGCGCUUUUACCCGGGAUGAUAAUGACAGUACCGGGAGAAUAAGCUCCGGCUAACUCCGUG
This 433-nucleotide ribosomal RNA is filed under the name uncultured bacterium. RNAcentral's name for it is "partial 16S ribosomal RNA". It matches the Rfam family "Bacterial small subunit ribosomal RNA", at positions 29 to 507 of the family's 1533-position model. The record is from RNAcentral.